This 420-nucleotide ribosomal RNA is filed under the name uncultured prokaryote. RNAcentral's name for it is "bacterial SSU rRNA". It matches the Rfam family "Bacterial small subunit ribosomal RNA", at positions 355 to 774 of the family's 1533-position model. The record is from RNAcentral.
UAAGGAAUAUUGCUCAAUGGGAGAAAUCCUGAAGCAGCAACGCCGCGUGGAGGAUGAAGGGUCUAUGACUUGUAAACUCCUGUAAGGAAGGAAAAAAUUCCCAUUAGAUGGGAGAUGAUGGUACUUCUGGAGUAAGCCCCGGCUAACUACGUGCCAGCAGCCGCGGUAAUACGUAGGGGGCAAGCGUUGUCCGGAUUUACUGGGUGUAAAGGGUGCUCAGGCGGAUUUGUAAGUCAGAGGUGAAAUCUCACAGCUUAACUGUGAAACUGCCUUUGAUACUGCAAGUCUAGAGUAUGGAAGAGAGUGAUGGAAUGUCUGGUGUAGCAGUGAAAUGCGUAGAUAUCAGAUAGAACACCAAUGGCGAAGGCAGUCACUUGGUCCAUUACUGACGCUAAAGCACGAAAGCGUGGGUAGCAAACA